GACGAACGCUGGCGGCGUGCUUAACACAUGCAAGUCGAACGGAGUGGCGAACGGGGGAGUAACACGUGGGUGAACUGCCUUGCACGUGGGGAUAAGCUUGGGAAACUGGGUCUAAUAACGGCAUGUGCAAGAUGAGCUCGCGGCCUAGCAGCUGGUUGGUGGGGUAAUGGCCCACCAAGGCGUCGACGGGUAGCCGGCCUGGGAGGGUGUACGGCCACAUUGGGACUAGGGGACGGCCCAGACGCCAACGGGAGGCAGUGGGGGCGAAGAUGGCACAAUGAGGGGAAGCCUGAUGCAGCGGCGCCGCGUGGGGAAUGAAGGCCUUCGGGUUGGAAACUCCUUUCGACAGAGACGCGGUACCUGCAUAAGAAGCACCGGCUAACUACGUGCCAGCCGCCGCGGUAAUAC
RNAcentral lists this ribosomal RNA (408 nucleotides) under uncultured bacterium. Its description in RNAcentral is "partial 16S ribosomal RNA". It matches the Rfam family "Bacterial small subunit ribosomal RNA", at positions 28 to 526 of the family's 1533-position model. The record is from RNAcentral.